RNAcentral lists this ribosomal RNA (443 nucleotides) under uncultured bacterium. RNAcentral describes it as "partial 16S ribosomal RNA". It matches the Rfam family "Bacterial small subunit ribosomal RNA", at positions 338 to 795 of the family's 1533-position model. The record is from RNAcentral.
CCUACGGGUGGCAGCAGUGGGGAAUAUUGGGCAAUGGGCGCAAGUCUGACCCAGCAACGCAGCGUGAAGGAAGAAGGCUUUCGGGUUGUAAACUUCUUUUGUCAGGGACGAAGCAAGUGACGGUACCUGACGAAUAAGCCACGGCUAACUACGUGCCAGCAGCAGCGGUAAUACGUAGGUGGCAAGCGUUAUCCGGAUUCACUGGGUGUAAAGGGUGUGUAGGCGGGGAAGCAAGUCAGAUGUGAAAACCACGGGCUCAACCUGUGGCCUGCAUUUGAAACUGUUUUUCUUGAGUACUGUAGAGGCAGACGGAAUUCCUAGUGUAGCGGUGAAAUGCGUAGAUAUUAGGAAGAACACCAGUGGCGAAGGCGGUCUACUAAACAGCAACUGACGCUGAGGCGCGAAAGCGUGGGGAGCAAACAGGAUUAGAUACCCGAGUAGUC